CUGGAUGUUGAGAGGGGAAUAGGUUGCCCGCUGAAAAGGCACUGUGAGUUGGUUCCUUAUUGACGGUUCAAGGUUUGCUACUAAAAGAGAUGACAAGCUCUUACGGUUUUCACGGUAAUGUGUUUUAUACAGUUUAAUAAACGCAACAGUUUUAUAACAUCUGUCGUCGAGCCAUCAUUUGAUAGAGAUAGCUACAGUAAGAGCUUACGCUUCAUCGAGCCCCCUGCCACUGCCAAGACGAUCGAGUGAGGAAAACGGGACAGAGCUCCAUCCCCUGCACGGACCAGACGGAUGCAAGAGACUUCUCGACCUGACGCUACAGGUUCUGCAGUCAGCGGGAAGCACUACGACACACGGGCAGAAUGUUGAGGGACUCGAUGGAUGGUCAAACACGGCUAGCACCAACAGUUUGAACGAACACAGCAUACCAAAGCUAACAGGUAGGAGUGGAUGCUACAUAUACACAAACUGCUAAGGCAGUGGUUCUCAACCGGGGGUACGUGAAGCCAGUCCAGGGGGUACGUGAGAUUUUUUAAAGAUAUAUUUCAAAUUAGCCUCCAUUCAAAAAUCCUUUAAAAAUAGUUAUUAUACGGCUCUUCAGAAUGUUCCAAAAAGGUCCGUUGAUUUGUAUGGGACAUAUGUGGGUUAAAUGUCUGCGUUCGCAGGUCUGUAAUUUCUUGAUAUUCACAGCUGCGAAAAGUUUAUGACCGAUGUCAUUGGCAACGGGUUUUGUGUUUCUAAUUCACAUCUUUCAUAUCAUUCCGCAAGUAGGUCAUUUAACGUAACGGAAAGUCAUUGAAACUUGAAGUCAGAAGUUUCACACCGUUCACAUUAUAAAGUUUCACCCUCGGUAUCCAAGGCUGAGUAUGGCUAGAGGACUGUGAUGCUACAGAUGAGCACAGACCACAGCUGCUGUCUACGCAUAGUACACAACAACGCACCGAAGAAUACAUGAAUAGUCACGCCCUUCUCACUAGCAAUUAAUAUUCAGUUAAAGACUCAAUUCCAAGUGAUGAGUACACAACACAGGGGUUUUCAACUGGUUUUGUCCCAGGGACCACCAUUCUGACUAGAAAGUAAUCUGUGGCCCACUGACGUGCGUGUAUGUGGAUAGA
This is a long non-coding RNA of Clupea harengus (Atlantic herring), 1115 nucleotides long. Lineage: Eukaryota; Metazoa; Chordata; Actinopteri; Clupeiformes; Clupeidae. The record is from Ensembl.